Molecule: ribosomal RNA, 301 nt
Filed under: uncultured bacterium
Lineage: Bacteria
Description: partial 16S ribosomal RNA
Rfam family: Bacterial small subunit ribosomal RNA
Source: RNAcentral
CAGCCGCCGCGGGAAUACGUAGGGUGCGAGCGUUAAUCGGAAUUACUGGGCGUAAAGCGUGCGCAGGCGGUUCGUUAAGACAGAUGUGAAAUCCCCGGGCUUAACCUGGGAACUGCAUUUGUGACUGACGGGCUAGAGUAUGGCAGAGGGGGGUAGAAUUCCACGUGUAGCAGUGAAAUGCGUAGAGAUGUGGAGGAAUACCGAUGGCGAAGGCAGCCCCCUGGGCCAAUACUGACGCUCAUGCACGAAAGCGUGGGGAGCAAACAGGAUUAGAUACCCGGGUAGUCCCUGUCUCUUAUAC